UUCAACCGAUUGGGGUGCGCCGCAUGGUGCGGCGCUGAGAUCAUACCCAUCGAACCUGACGCGGUUCGCACCGCCGUAGGGAAUUCGGGACGCCUUGCAC
RNAcentral lists this non-coding RNA (100 nucleotides) under Alkalidesulfovibrio alkalitolerans. Its description in RNAcentral is "Desulfovibrio alkalitolerans TPP sequence". It matches the Rfam family "TPP riboswitch aptamer (THI element)". Rfam says of the family: Vitamin B(1) in its active form thiamin pyrophosphate (TPP) is an essential coenzyme that is synthesised by coupling of pyrimidine and thiazole moieties in bacteria. RNAcentral also lists the same sequence under 1 other name. Lineage: Bacteria; Pseudomonadati; Thermodesulfobacteriota; Desulfovibrionia; Desulfovibrionales; Desulfovibrionaceae. The record is from RNAcentral.